CUUUCCUACGUUCUCUUCUUUAGAGAGAGGUGUCGCAGAUGACUUGUUAUCUUCUUAUUGUCAAGAAAAAGGCAACUAUUUAAUCAUUCUCAUUCCUGUUGACAGAGGAGCCUGGAGGGCUACCAUCCAUGGGAUUCCAGAGAGUUCGAUUCAACUGGGUUACUAACACUUUCAUUUUCACUUUGCUGUUGACAGAACAGUUUGAGAGAUGGUGAAGAUGUUACUCAUUUUGAAAGCAAUGAUUGGGAAGUAGGUGCUUUUGCUGGAAAAUGCUUUUCUGGAACCUGAAUAAAAGUGAGGUAAAUACUUUUAAGACUUCAUAAAGUUAAAAACUCAUUUUAAAGUUGGUAAAGUUUUUAUUGGGAAAUAUAUAUGCUAAAAUAUAUGCGUAUAGUUUAAAGAAUAAUAAUAUGUAUACCCUAUAGAUUAUGAGACUAACAGACAAAAUAUUAUCUGUAUUUUAAAAGCUCCAAGUGUGCCCCUCAAUGCAGACUUUUUUCUUAACCCUUGAAAUUUGUGUUAUUC
This 525-nucleotide long non-coding RNA is filed under the name Capra hircus (goat). RNAcentral's name for it is "lncRNA (ENSCHIG00000007129.1)". The record is from RNAcentral. Lineage: Eukaryota; Metazoa; Chordata; Mammalia; Artiodactyla; Bovidae.